GACCGUUCUGGCAGCCUAGUGGUUAGAGCGUCCGCCUCAGAUGAGGGAGGUCGUGGGUUCGAUCCCCUGCCGAGUCA
Molecule: non-coding RNA, 77 nt
Organism: Potamilus streckersoni
Lineage: Eukaryota; Metazoa; Mollusca; Bivalvia; Unionida; Unionidae
Source: the annotation of a GenBank genome assembly